GACCUCUGGAAGAGCAGUCGGUG
This 23-nucleotide non-coding RNA is filed under the name Cricetulus griseus (Chinese hamster). Lineage: Eukaryota; Metazoa; Chordata; Mammalia; Rodentia; Cricetidae. The record is from RNAcentral. RNAcentral also lists the same sequence under 1 other name.